Molecule: ribosomal RNA, 1404 nt
Filed under: uncultured bacterium
Lineage: Bacteria
Description: bacterial SSU rRNA
Rfam family: Bacterial small subunit ribosomal RNA
Source: RNAcentral
UGAGUCUGGCUCAAGACGAACGCUGGCGGCGUGCCUAAUACAUGCAAGUAGAACGCUGAAGAGAGGAGCUUGCUCUUCUUGGAUGAGUUGCGAACGGGUGAGUAACGCGUAUGUAACCUGCCUGGUAGCGGGGGAUAACUAUUGGAAACGAUAGCUAAUACCGCAUAAAAUUGAUUAUUGCAUGAUAAUUAAUUGAAAGAUGCAAUUGCAUCACUACCAGAUGGACCUGCGUUGUAUUAGCUAGUUGGUGAGGUAACGGCUCACCAAGGCGACGAUACAUAGCCGACCUGAGAGGGUGAUCGGCCACACUGGGACUGAGACACGGCCCAGACUCCUACGGGAGGCAGCAGUAGGGAAUCUUCGGCAAUGGGGGGAACCCUGACCGAGCAACGCCGCGUGAGUGAAGAAGGUUUUCGGAUCGUAAAGCUCUGUUGUAAGAGAAGAACGGGUGUGAGAGUGGAAAGUUCACACUGUGACGGUAUCUUACCAGAAAGGGACGGCUAACUACGUGCCAGCAGCCGCGGUAAUACGUAUGUCCCGAGCGUUGUCCGGAUUUAUUGGGCGUAAAGCGAGCGCAGGCGGUUAGAUAAGUCUGAAGUUAAAGGCUGUGGCUUAACCAUAGUAUGCUUUGGAAACUGUUUAACUUGAGUGCAGAAGGGGAGAGUGGAAUUCCAUGUGUAGCGGUGAAAUGCGUAGAUAUAUGGAGGAACACCGGUGGCGAAAGCGGCUCUCUGGUCUGUAACUGACGUUGAGGCUAGAAAGCGUGGGGAGCAAACAGGAUUAGAUACAGUGGUAGUCCACGCAGUAAACGAUGAGUGCUAGGUGUUAGGCCCUUUCCGGGGCUUAGUGCCGCAGCUAACGCAUUAAGCACUCCGCCUGGGGAGUACGACCGCAAGGUUGAAACUCAAAGGAAUUGACGGGGGCCCGCACAAGCGGUGGAGCAUGUGGUUUAAUUGGAAGCAACGCGAAGAACCUUACCAGGUCUUGACAUCCCUCUGACCGCUAUAGAGAUAGAGUUUUCCUUCGGGACAGAGGUGACAGGUGGUGCAUGGUUGUCGUCAGCUCGUGUCGUGAGAUGUUGGGUUAAGUCCCGCAACGAGCGCAACCCCUAUUGUUAGUUGCCAUCAUUCAGUUGGGCACUCUAGCGAGACUGCCGGUAAUAAACCGGAGGAAGGUGGGGAUGACGUCAAAUCAUCAUGCCCCUUAUGACCUGGGCUACACACGUGAUACAAUGGCUGGUACAACGAGUCGCAAGCCGGAGACGGCAAGCUAAUCUGUGAAAGCCAGUAUCAGUUAGGAUUGUAGGCUGCAAACUCGCCUACAUGAAGUGGGAAUGGCUAGUAAUCGCGGUUCAGCUCGCCGCGGUGAAAUACGUUCCCGGGCCGUGCCCACGCCGCCCGUCAA